CAUGCAUACCUGAUUUACGGGAAAAGAAUAAAUAUCAGCACAAACGCAUUUGUGUGCUCGUCCUAGCAUUUACUUGGUGAACAUGCAAAGCACAACCGAUAUUAAAGGUUCACAAAGAUGUGUUGGAAUUGGUGCUGCUUCUUCAAGCUCCUCAACUUCUCUGGCUGCCAUGAUCAUCUCUCAACGCACUGAACCUCAGAUUGCUGCAAGUGUUGCUGGUGCUCGCAUUGACGCAGAUCUACUGGACCAAGGAUAGAAGAAGUCGCACUACUAGAGCAAAAGCGUUUUUUACGUUUUUCUUUUGUUUUAGUUCCUAUGUACAAUUAGCGACUACGUCAUUUAUUCUCUCUGUGAUUGGGUAGUUGCUGAUUUGUUAGAUUUUUGGCAGUAGUUUUUGUUAUUUAAACCGGCCUUCGUCUUCUUCAUUCUUUCUCUGUAAGAGAAUUGCAACAAGGAUGAAAUCUAUGGCAGAGCUUCGCCUCUCUUCCGGUCAAUUUUGCAUCUUUUUUGUUCUGUUGGAUUGCAAUCUCGACAUGGUAUCAGAGCCUUCAUCUUGAAGGUCUCUCGAUACUUUUUUGUUUUUUUUUUUUAUAAUUUUCACAAAUCACUGCAAUUACGAACCUUGAUCAUGACGGAUUCGCCAACAUUGGAGGCAGAUCAAUAUGAGAGGGAGGUUCUGUACCUCCAUCCUUCUGAUGAUUCCAGCUUUGUGCUGGCUUCCUCACCAGCUUGGUUUUAUUUGUGAAUUAAUAAAAGGACAAGUAGAUAAACAGUGAAAGUGUUAGAUACAGCAUACAGGACCUUAAAAUAAGAUGAUGAGUGGUAAAGGAGAGAUGUCGUUGUGGAUGGAGCGAUGGAGGAGAGGGAGCUCACAGAAGCAGCCAUGGCAGGUAAGAUAAAGAUGGAUUUGACUUCGACUGCUCACUGUAAAAUGUUUUACCAUCCAACGGACAGAGGCCUGGGCUCCCCCCCUCUAUUUUUUUUAUUUUAUUAUUGUUAUUAUUAUAAAUUUUAUGUUAUUUUAUUUUC
Molecule: non-coding RNA, 1029 nt
Organism: Sesamum indicum (sesame)
Lineage: Eukaryota; Viridiplantae; Streptophyta; Magnoliopsida; Lamiales; Pedaliaceae
Source: RefSeq, a predicted model, not a curated record